This 119-nucleotide ribosomal RNA is filed under the name Pteropus alecto (black flying fox). The record is from RNAcentral. Lineage: Eukaryota; Metazoa; Chordata; Mammalia; Chiroptera; Pteropodidae.
GUCUAUGGUCAUGCCACCCUGAACGUGCCCGAUCUCGUCUGAUUGCUGAAGCGAAGCAGGGUCGGGCCUGGUUAGUACUUGGAUGGGAGACCACCUAGGAAGACCAGGUGCUGUAGGUG